UUCUUACUACUUAAGUCUCUUUACAGAUCUUUCGAAAAAGAAAGCUCUCGGCGAUUAAUCAAAUGCGCCAACCAUCUGGAUGGUUCUCAACGAAUGCCCAUUUAAACCGAUUGAAAUCACAACAAAUGGCGAGCUGAGACAAGACGCUCGAAAAAAAAAUCCGGAUUGAACACGUUUCAACGAGCUUGCUGUAGCCGGCUGGCAAGUUAACGAUUAGCUCCGAACCGAGCCCAGCUCUACCCGAUUGUCACGUACCACUCAGAGGUAUGGGUCUAGAUUUCAUUGCUUUGCAACGCAGGAUCGCCCUAUUCUCAGGUGCCAAAAGGAUCAGUAUGUUUUUGGCUAAAACCCAUAGAUGGCUUGUUGUAACAGCGAUAGAAAAUAAUGAAGAGUUUGAGGCAUGUGUACUCGUGGUGUCAUAGUAUAUUCAGCACAGCUUGAGCUUGGACUACACAACACAUGAGUGAUGCGUUUUUCGACAAAAGAUCUUAUUCUUUGUUCAUCACAGAUUUCAAGUAGAUCCAUUCCGAGACACCCAGCACAAAGCCCGGAAACGAACAUCAUACGCUCUGGAGAAGUACAGACAUCAACAAUAGUAAAGUGAGUCCUGAUUAGAAUUUGUUCCAUUAAAUUCUUCGAAAUUUGAAUUAAAAUAAGCCUUUUGAAGUAAGGCCCUGGUGUAGAUAUUCGAUUAACAAGGAUCUCCGCAUUCUUCGAGGAAAAUGAAAAGCCCGUUGUAAAAGCGAUAGAUAACAAUGAAGGGUUUGAGGCGUGUAUACCCGUGAUGUUAUAUCAUAUUCGGCACAGCUUGGGCUUGGCCUACACAACAUGAUGUAGGAUACAGACGAGAAUAGUUUUAAAUAAUGGUUAAUUCUUUCGAUCAAUACAUACAUCCAAUUGAAUGUUAUUGGCUGAGCGUGUAAAAGGCUUUUUCAGAAACGGUUAAAGAUAGAAAAACGAAAUUGCGUCAGUUGAUUAACGAAUUUUGGCGAUAAUGGCUGUUUGUUGAUAUAGUGAUCCGGAAGAAGUCAGCGAAGAAUCUGACACAUGAGUAAUGCGGUUUUCCGAGAAAAGCUCGCAAUCGUCGUUAAACACAGAUAUCAAGUGCAUCUAUCUAAAAACAACCUACACUUAACCCGCAAUUUCUUCGACGCGAACUUACAUCAUACGCUCUGGAGGAGUACAAAUAUCAUUACUUAUAAGGUUUGUCACUAGUUGGACGCUGCGCAAUAAAAGGACACCUGACAAAAACCAGCUAUCUCUUAUUGAUUCCAUAAAACAGCAUAUGAUGAUGGUUAUGAUAUAUGAUUAUUGAGAUGCUGGAAACUUUUAUCAAAAUGGGAUAUAUUGGUUUUUCCCAUUGCGAUAGAUAACAAUGAACAGCUGGGGGCUGUUGGACGCUCCGUAAGAAAAGGUCCCAAUCAUUAUAAGUAUAUAAUUAACUUUGGUAAGCCGCGAAUGACUAAGAUGUUAAAACUACUAUAAUCGAAACAACAAAAAAUUAUAGAAGAUUUCUAAUUUGCUACGAUACAUAAGGGUGAGUCUUAAUUCAGAUUUAAUUAUUUAACACUACAUGUAGUCACAAACAAGCUAUACUAAAAACUGCAAAAUCAUUUUAGAAUAAAUAUUUUUUUCAAUUUUGAAUGGUUGGUUCUACAAGUAUGAAUUCAAGUUAAAACUGUAUUUCGAACUCUCGAAAAGUUUAUUAUUCAAAAAGAAGACUAUUAAACGAACUGGAAUCGCUGCCUUGGCAGAAUAGCCAAAAAUAUGUAUACUCAAGCAGAGUCAAGCGAGUGUUGCAAUGUUUUACCAAUGUUGUGUUGAGGCAGGAGGGCUUUGCUGCUGCUGUAGUGGUGAGCUUGCUUAAUGAGGAAAUAUUUUAUUGGAUCCGAGAGGGUUGUUUUUUUUCGAUGCUCGUUUCCCGUUUGUAUGUAUACGUGUAAUCUUUUGCAAAACUGCACAUUUUCGUAUCGACCAACUGCAACGUAUUAAUUUUUUUUCACCUUUUAUUAUUGGAAAUUUUAGACAGUUCCUUAUUUUUAAAAGGUAUUUUUGCCUGAAUUUUAAUAUUAACAAAUUAUUUCAGAAGAUAUAAACUUUGUGCGUAUAAUUGUUGAUAUCUGACAAGAUUCCCCACCUUCUCUUUACUAGGCAGAGAAUUGCGUUGGAAUGGAAUUACGUAUAAUAAUGACACCACUCAAUGUCAAUCGUUUUGAAUACGAAUUGUAUCAUUCUUUAUUCAAGGGUUUGUAAAAAUGAUACAGUAAACUAUACGUGAAUUUUGUCGAGGACUAGGAAUUUUUCAACAGAAAAACCGUUCUUUAUGAAGAAUUUAAUUUUUUUUCGGGGUUUGAAACGAGAUAUCUGUACUUUCACACGCGAUUCAUCUAGUUCACAAAUCGAACCGAGCUGGAAAGAAGGGGGAUGGCUUAACACACACACACACGAUCAUGGGUACCAUGUCGUUUUGCGAUAGGGUUCAAUAUAUAAACCAACCUGGGGCUGCCUGGCAAGUUUGGGUUUGUGUGUAUAUGUGUACUCGUUGACCGAGUGACUGGCUGGGUCGAGGCUUGCUUUGUGCUGCAGUUGCUUCUGUUCGAUCAGAAAGGUUUUCGCAGUCGUUGAAAGUGGUACUGUUUUUAGAGUCUCUGGCAUUUCAAAGUGUAGCUAAAGAAAAAAAAAGUCAAGAAAUUUUCACAAGUUCCAUAUUAGGAGUGCUGCCGUAGUUAAGUUCGAGUCCAGCAGAGAUUCCCAAGUGCAAGUUAUCUUUUCGUUCGUGGUUUCGGUUCCGAACACUGCUGUGCGAGAGUUCUAAAGCAGUACCAAAUGAGACAGUGAUGCACCUUUCCGACCAUCCGACCAACGGGGCUAGCUCUCUAUCGGCUUGGAUGUCGUCCGGAAACAGACCUAUUUCUUUUGCUUUCAGAUAGAACUCACGGUUAGUUCUGAAGGGGCGUACCUAGAGAAAGCUUCACCAAGUUGUGUAUCACAAAUCCUUGAGCAGUACGAAAGAAAGAAUGUGAUGAUGACGAGAUGAGGAGGAGGAAGGUUGUUAGGAGGAGGGAUUCAGAGAAAGAGAGAGAUAUAUGGGCCCAUCACCGAUCACGCACGACACGCAACGAAAGGUGUAUGGAGACAGAAAGAGGGAGAGAGAGAGCGCGAGAUAUGUGUUGGUUAACUGCAGCCGGAGGAGCGGAUACGUGACUCCGGAUCGAAAGUGUGUGAUCUCGAUCGAGUUUGGCAAGUGGCCUUCCUGAUGCUGCUGCUGUUGCUUCUGCUUCUGCUUUUGGUUCUGCCCGCAUACGGUCGAAAUCGGUGCGUUUCCGAGGUGCCGAGUUGUGUGUGACAGCAAUCAUCUUCUGACCCCAAAAAAAACAAGCCGGAGCCGGAGCCGAAUGCGUCACACUCGCGAGAACACGGAUCCACCACCCACCGGGGGCUAGCUAUCGAGCGAGAGGUGCGCUGGCAGGCGGCAAGGAAGAGGCGGGCGGCUACAGCGUCAAGGCGACGAGUGAGCGCGAUUCUCGGUAACACACUACACAAAUUAGCUAGUUAUCUAUUGACACAUACCUGAAGCAGCAUAUUUGAGAGUUAGUUUCAAGGAAUUGCACUAGUCUGUGGCAUCCUUAAGAAAGUCGUAGGCACCUGACAGGAAUGUGUGCGACGAGUAUUUUCAAAUAGUAGUGAGUACAUGUUGAAACGAAAGCAUGCGUUUCCAGUUGUAGUCAUAUACAUAGUAUAGCGUGGUGGAUUCGGUGAAAAAUCCGACCACUCAACAACGUUUAACCUGAUUUUGAGUUUUAUCCCCAACCAUAUAGUAAAGUCAACAAGCAACCGCAGGUAGACUGAUCAUGACUGAUUUAGGAAGGAGUGGGAGAGGCCGAGAUUCGGAUUGUUUGAACGACUUACGUAAGCGAGUUACAACAAUGAGUACGACGGCGAUGCACAGCUUGCGUGAGGCAUUUUUAGGGGGUCUUUCAGACACAGAAACUACGUGACGACAGCACCAUCAGAGUACAGACGAGUAUAAAGAGAAACGAAAUGAACAAAAAAUGAGGUCACCUUGCGCGAACAGAUUUGUAGAUGCGCGUCUGCGGGAAAGGCGAAAUAGAAACAAAGAGAGAGAGAGGGAUCGUCGUACAGAAAGGAACACACCAACAGAGAUUUUUGAAAUGGAUAGCGGUAAAUUGCGCUAAUUUAACUUUUUUCCAACAAAAGUUUUCGAAUUUCCAGACAAAAUAGAUAUCAGAGAUAUCGAUUGGAAUGGGUUUGAGGUUUGUAGAGAUGCAGCAAAAGGAGUAAGAAAGCAGGUUGAAAAAAUGGCGGGUACAAUGGUUAGAUAGUAGCUGCACAUCAUUCCUCCACCCGCACGACGAGAUACGAGUUAAGUCCGUAGCAAGUGUUGGGGCCGAUCAUCAUGUUAAAAACGUGUUUAGAGACCAGCCUAACCGGUCAUCCAGCACACAGGAAGAGAAAUUUACUUUCGUUUUGCAGAUUUAUAUUUUGAUUUUUCCCCCAACGAAGAAGAUGAUGAUGAUCGUUGCAAUCAAGAGAGUGCACUCAUUACAAGGUAAAGUGCUUUUAAAUGCAGUUUGACGAAGCCCGUUUUUAUUUUGCAGCAAGCCUUAUUGAGCGAUUUGGAAAGAUCAAUCAUUGCGCUGGUAUGAUGAAAUUAAAAAAUGAAAGCCAUUGCGCUACUGUAGCUUAGAUAGCCCCUGCAAUUAUGUGCAGUAGAUCUCAAAUCAUAACACUCUUUAAGUAGUUCGAAUCCUGCCCUCAGGCAGCAUGAUUUCAUCUUUACAGAAAGCAGAACGGUCCAGCUCCUGUUCAGGAGGCUGAGUUUUAUUGUUUCUUUUUUUAUUUUACUGUUUCUUAUGCCUGGAAUCCGACACUCCAAUGUGAAAGGACCGCCUAGAGCACACACACACACACACUUGUGUCAUGGAACGUGUCUAUCCCAUGGGUCCCGAGUCCUAAAAUAUUCGGUAAAAUUGUUCCACAUAAAUCUACGCAAACGGAAGUUUGUUUCGUAUUUACAGCGAGACGGCAUGGUCCGGCCAGAUACCCUACAUCUGGCCGAGUUUCUCUCUUUAUCAUUUCCUUUUACUAUAUUUAACCGGAAACCGGAAGGCACACCCCGAGCUCUUAGAACCGUACCGGACGAUUUUGAACCCUAGAGACAAACCGCGGCCUACAUCCGUCCUUCUUCCCGUGGGCUUCCGAUCAAGGAGUAGACAAACAGACAGAUCAUUCACAACUCGUGGUAAAAUGCAAUUUUAUUCUGCCUAGAAACCCGAGUUUUCGUCUUUACAGCGAAUACGGUCCGGCCCCGUCCCUGGGAGGCCGAGUUUCUCUGUUUAUUGUUUUCUGUCCUUUUUUUCGCACACGAUAAUCGCCGGAGCUGUGGCCACUGCGAGUGUACUACUGACAGAAACUUUAGCCCGUCUUUCGAGAGAUGUGGAGAACCGCAACCCACCCACAAUGGAACGAAAGCGCAAUAGACGGAAACAUCCGGGCCUGGACGGCGCGUGAAUGCUGCUAUGAAUUUUCUAUCUAUUCCCCCGGUCCGGCUCUCAUAACCAGCCGAGUUUCUGUGUUCUUUUGUUUUUGUUUUCGUUUAUGACCUACUUCCAAUCUGGACUCACAUGAAACGGAACGACAUGGUUCGGCACUAGGCCUCCUAACAAUGAAGCAACCUACCGAUCUGCUGCAGGGAGUAGUGAAACGCGGAAGCAGCCGUCGUGACACAACCUUGACGGUCUGUGACUUGACUGGAAACUGGGAGCAGACAAAUCGAUUCGGUAAAUUUGAAAGGAACCCUUACCCCACAACGGAACCCGUUUUCUUUUGCAGUCGACUAGUCGAGACCAUCUACUAGCACCCAUCUACUAGCUUUGGCCGGUCGGGUUGGCUCUUACGCAAUCAAUGUUAUCCACUAAAGACGGCCGGCUCACUGCCACGAGAAACAAAAUCGAAAUAAACCGCAGAGAGUUGUUCGUUGUUCCCUUACCACAUUCAUUGCGUUCGAAGUAAGCUACAACAAAUUUGCAGACAAACCCCCAGUUUUACCUUUUGCAGAGAGAAACGUGGAAUUGUGAUCAUUUCUCAGACAGAGCUUAGCUAAUUGCACAUUGUUUUUGGCGCUAAUCUGAUCAACUGUGGCGUUUUGAAAUUUUGAACGUGGGAAAACCGAAUCCAAACGAUUACCUACCUAUAUCAACGUAGAAAGCCUUAUAUGUAACAUUUUCUGGCCCAUCCACACAGCAUGGUUGUGGCAGUCGACUAGAUAUCCUGAAGUCCUCCGAGAGAUGUUCGACACAGAUCAACGUUCACUGAUAAACGGUAAACUUUGUAUUACUUCCACCCCCAACAAUCCUUAGUCUAUUACAGCAAUCAUACCUAUAUGGAAAGUAUUUAUUCGCUUUAAACCGCAAGGAUUUAUACGGUUCGUUCCACCUAGGACGCACAAACAGGUUUUUAAAAACGAAGGAAUUACCGGUCAUCAACCAAUCUACCAAUCCCAAUCAUGUUUUAAACAUCGUGGAAAGCAAGCAUCAUGUGUCCAGGCAUUCAUUAGGCGAUUUGGUGGCGAUCUUCCUCGACAAAAUUGUGUCCCUCUACUACUACUACUACUUACCGCAAGAAAAGCAUCCCCUGGCAGUUGUACACACCUCUAAUAACUACGUAUUGCACCCCGGAAACACCCGGCCCUUCGUGUGUUUGUCUGUGUGUGUGUGGGGAAAAACGCAAGAAGAAAGCAUGUCUCUGGUGGUAGCUAUGCUAAUUUGUUUUGUUACUUUCGUUUACUAUUUUCUCACCAACAACCAAAAAAAAAAGAAACAAGCCGGAAGGUUUGAAAUAUUCUUACUUUUAUUCGAUUUUAUAUAUUUCUAAUACCAGUAGUUUUUAGAAAAAAAAAAAACAUUUACACACACAUUUGUAUUUUACGGUAGUAUUUGUUAUGCUUUUCCCGUUUGACUGGACAGUCAUCGGGGCUGUUGGUUUUUUCAACUUAAUCUAUUGUCUUUUGCAGAGUUGUCGAUUGUUUAUGUUGAAACGAUGAUGCAUUUACCUCUUAUUAUAUUGUUUUGGCAAGCAGGAAAAAAAAUCACAAAAAAAUUAAUCCAUCCAGCGCGCUUGAAAGUUUUGUUAACACUAAAAAUCAUCCGCAAAGUGGUGUUGAAGAUUUUAUAAGUAAAUUUGAUUGUGCACACAAUGGAAAACAGAAACAUAAAAAAAAAGUUAAUACCAGGGAAAACUACUAUGUGCUUUAGAACUUAAGUUGUGAUUGGGCUUAUCUCUUUUAAAACAAUGUUAAUUGCCACAGUUUAUUUUACUUACCGUUCCUAUCUCGUACCUUAUUAAGUAUGAUAAGUAUGUGCCUAUUGUUUGAAAGUGUUUUAACCUUUUUAUACAUCUGCAUAGUUUCACACAUCUUUUGACUCCGCUCGUCCGGAUCAUUGUAACGUUUCUCUUAUCUUAUCUAGUGCGCACACACACAUUCACACCUGUGUUGGUUGUGUAUUUUUCUAUUGUUAUAAAAACAAACGGGUUAAAACUAGCCGAAUAACUACUGCCAAUAGCAUACCUUUUUAUGCAUAUACCCAUUAUUUUUUAAUUGUGUAUACAUUUGUAGCACCCCUAUUUAUUAAGCGUGACUGAUCAAGAGUAGUUGCUGGAGCGCCUUUACUAACCGAGUCGGAUGAUGUGUAAUGCUUAUACUUUUUGGAAACCACCUAUCUAUUAUUAUCAUUAUUACAAUUAAAACUACUUUUUCUAUUAGUGUGCUUUGUGCGCUUAAAGCCAAGCAAAAAUACACCACUUAAAACACAUAGCAGAAAUUGAAAAAAAUCUACUGUGACAAGAUCAUAAAAUCGAUGAUGAAAUUAAUGUUUUUCGUGUUUUAUAAAUAUUUUGUAAUGUUUAUAAGAAGAAUGUAAAAAAUGUGCUAUUUAUUAUUGAUGUACCUGAAAAAAAAAAACGUUUGUAAAUUUUUAUCGAUUACUGAAGAAACUAAUGUUCCAGCCAGUGAGAGCUCUGAAAAAUACCUAUUUUAUAAAUUUUAUCCAUACUUAUGUAUGUAUUGUGAGAAAAAAGUUAUGUAUCAACUAAUUAUACAAAUCUGAUAUGUGAAGUUUGAAAAUUUGUCGAAAUAACGAAAAUGAUGUUAUUGUUAAAUGUUGAAGAAAAUGUUAAGAAAAUUGAAGAAUUCAAUCAAAUUUAUGUGAUGUGUUGUAUUGAAAAACUAAAUGUUUAGACGAAUUUUGGAAAAGUAUAUCUACAAUGUAUUGUAAAAAUUUCAACUGUGAUAAAGUUGUGAGUGAAGUUAUGUUCUGUUUUUUAUCAUUCAAACUCUAUUGUAUGACUAGUUCUAUGUGCUUUGUGCGUAGACGCAAUUGAAGAAAAAACCCAUGAAAUUUUAUAAUUUAUCUAGCAAGAUUUGACAAGUUUCAUGCAACGCAUGUAUGAACUCGAAGUGAGACGAAAUAACUAAACAAUAAACAAACGGAACAAGUUAAGUGAAAUUUCAAGUUAUGGAAAAAAAAUUGUGUAAAGUUAUUGUGAUGUUGAAAAGUGUUUUUCUUCCAUUUAUUCCUUUAUUAUGAUCAGUUUCAUGCAAUGUAUGAACCUUCUAAAUACUGAAACGAAACAUAAAGCCUGAACAAGUGAACAAAAAAAAACGAAAAUGUUUUGUAAUGAUAACGUGUUGGUUAUCAAAAAAAAUAUCAAGAAAUUUAUACAAAUGUGAAUGAUCAAUUGUUGUCAAACGAAGAAGCAUCUGUACAAAAACGCAUUGUUUAUUUGUAUGUGUAAUCGAGAUCGAUGUUUAAUGAAAAUGUAUUUUUCUAAUUCUAGAAAAGUAGAAUGUUUUUCUAAAGUGCAAAUUAUUGCUUGUUUAUAAAUUGUUGAUUUAAUUUCAAUAGUGCCAACGGUUUGUGUACUAGUUUGAGUGAAUUUGAUCAAUAUUUUGCUAUUAAAUUGUUUUGUGAUAUUCUUAUACUAUUACCUACCGAUUACUAUUAUGUACAGUGAUACGAAAAUCUCACUUUGUUAUGCCGGAAAAAAAUUGUUUAUGGAAUUUGCUUUAUUGCAUCUGUAAUGUAAUUUUAACACAAUAAGUUUGAAAUAAGUUUACCUAAAUAGUAACACGUUCUUGAACAUCAAUGUGAUGCCCUGAGUGCACUUUAUAUCUAUACCUAGUAUUAUUACCUAUAUGGAAUUUGUGUAUUUUAAAAACCAAAAAAAAAAUUAUGCAUGUGUAAUCGAAGAAAAACACACGAGUAGAACACCACACGGUUGUUGGUUGCUAGAAGAAAAAUAUUCACCCCGAUCCCGGCGGAAGAUGGCCGUGAGAUUUACACACACCCACAUUUGCUGAACCUGAGCAGCUGGGCUUCUUUUUCCGAGUCAUCCGGUUUGCAUCGGUAUUGUUGUUGCCCUAUUCAUCAAGCUUUCUGCGAAAUUGGUCGCACACCGCGAAGGAGCUCAUCCACCAUCAUUUGAUCGUCACGAAAUUAUUCUAAUAACCGGUCCAGGUCCCGCCCGCCUUGAACCAUCAUUUAUCGACAUUUUGUCGUUGGGAUACGAUUCGCCUACGAAGAGCCUAAUGAGAUGAUAGCACAUGUUGGUCCCCGUCAGACACCUUGAAAUUUCCGAUUAACGCUGUGGCACAAACUUCACACACUUUUGGGUCCGAUCCAUUCCGAUUUUAUGAAAUAACGUAGGAGUCUUUGUGGAGAUACACAUUCGGUAAAUCUUGCACUCCUUUGCUUUUGUUUUACGUAACGGGACUCGGGGCCUUCGAGCCCUGGUCCCGCAUUUCUCUUUUUUUCAGAUAUUUCUCACGACCCUUUCAAGAAAAGCACAGACUUGGCUUUAUAACUAUCACAUGUUUAAGUUCAUCUUUCCGAACACACUACCUACUUGGUUAUGUCACACGAUUCGAUUUGGGAGGUCCUGGUGGGUUCCUCGAGAAAUAGGCUUCUGGUUCCGUUCUUAAUAUUGGGUAGCGACGAUGACGACGACAAGACAAGACAAGGGUGGCUGGCUCCAAGCGCGUUCAUCGAUCAGGCACGUCCGGGGUAAUCGACGGUUCGGUUCGGUCCUGCUGCUGCUUGUUUCGAAAGAACGAAAGAAGAGGAGGAAUGCGAGACGAGCUAAUGGUUCCUUUAGGGCGAUCGAUCGAUGGUGGGCCUGGCAGCGCGCGCCUCUUGUGGAGAGAAAUUCCGGAUGAUGGAUGACACUUAGGCAUCGUACGUGGUCCAUGGAAUUGUCCCAGUUGUCGUCAGCUUACUUUUUGAGAGGAACUUCUGGCGAAACUAAUCGAGACUUGAGGAAACCAUUUGGUUAGGAGAAUUCGGGUAGCAGCUUAUUAAGGAAAGGCGAAAAGUGAUUUAAGAAAUGUAUUCUACAAAUCGGAACGAAUGAAUGAACAACGGAAGUCAACGGGAAUAUCAAUUUGGAAAGCGAGAACCAGAUCUUUGGAAAAAGUUAAAGAAGUCUUCAUACAAUAAUGAAAUCAAACAAAUCAACGUUUUGAAAAACCAUCGCUAUUAUUGUCUACAAGUUUCAACACGAAUUAUAUCAACUCACAAGUAACUGAAGAUAGUCAAAUUCAAGAUCUAGAAAACGACUUAGCAUGGCAUUCACACCUUGAACAAUGUCCUUGAUCAAUGAAUUAUAAUCGUCAUCACUGAAGAAUCUCACUGAAUAGAAUGGAGACAUCACCUGUUAAAAGUGUUUCGACAUUGAAAGUACCAAAAAAACGGAUCAAUAAGUAUUGCAUCCUGAAUUGUUCUUGAGUAACGAACAAUAAUCGCCGACACUGAAGAAUCUAUUUUUCAAACCAAAUUUAAAAAUGAAAAAUCAGCAUCAUAUUAUGAUUGCCAAUUGUCACACUUAUAUCACUUGCCAAUUUCAACUUGAUUGGUCAACGACAACACGCAACUUAAACUUCAAAAAGUUGAAACAGCAAACCAACUUUUUUUAAAUUGAAGUCCUUAGUAAUCUAGAGAUUUACUAGUUCCUGACUUCAAAGUGACGUGCUGAGAUCAAAAAUAAGAUACCAUGAAACGGUUCAAAUGUUCACCUUUUUCGAUCGUUAAUAGUCAAAAAGGUGGUACGAAACCUGAAAGGCCACCUCGGCUAGUAAAAUUCAACCCCUACUCUGGAAAGUAAAUUCAUCAAUUAUCAAGAAGACGUGUUUGCGGAGCGACGCUUAAAAGAGAAUAAUUCAAGCUGAGUCAGCAAAACUAAGUUAAAAUGUGUUAAAAAAAGUGAAUGGAGCCCAAACUAGCAAAUUGGAAAAGGGCUAUUUUCAACAAAAAUCGAUGAAAACCAAAUUAAGUACACCAAAAGAUCGAGUUAUCAAAAAGCAGAAUGCAAGACUUAAAUAAGUGAAACAAAGUGUUGUUUUCAAAGAACAUUGGACAACAAGUGCUGAAAGUUAGUGAAAGUUUACAAAAAUCGGAAGGCCGACAUCUGCAUAUCGAAAAAAAUGAAAUCAAUUUGUUUUCGAUGCGAUCGCUAUUCGUAUAAUUUCUGUUACGAAGCAGCUACACAUAAAAUCGCCGGAAUGUCUUAACAAAUUUAAAAAAAGGCAAAUGAAUGGGCUGCCCUUAUUGCUUAAAUUAGCUGGUAUCCCUUCAAAAAAAAUCUGUUUGAAUUACUUACAAGUGAUAAUAGUUAUCCUGAAGGCCGAUGAAAAAAAGAGGCUAUUGUUAAAACAAACAGGCCUUGAUUAUCGGGUUGCUGAAGUUUGCGCCGAAUUUAUGUUCCAUUAAAUGAGAGAAGGAAUCACCCCGGUUAUCAAAAAUCUCAGAUGUAUACCACUUCGAAGAGAAUUUGUUUGAAUAAGUGAUAAAAGCUAUCCUGAAAGUCUGGAAUGGUCGAAACACGGCCUGUUGUAAAGUAAACCAGUCCUGCAAUUUUUAUUGCAGAAGUAUACCGAAGUCAUGAUAUCCAUUGAAGUUUUAAAAAAGUUUUUGGCUACGUCUUCGAAGAAAGUUUGUUUAAAAGGCAUCAAAUGUUAAAAGUUAUCCUGAAACCUGAUUCGUUCAGUAAAACAGGCUGUUGUAAAAUAAACCAGCCUUGUGAAGUUCGUUUCGAGUAACCUAAAUGAUGGCCCAUUGGAUGAGAGAAGGAUUCACAGUUUUGAAAAAUUCGUCGUUAUUUCUUCGAAGAAAGUUCGAUUUAACAAAGGCAUGUGAAAAAUGUGGCUGUUGCGGAAUAAACCCAGCCUUGAUGCAGAAGUUUGUCCCAAUUCAAAGUCCGUUAAAUGAGAGAAGUUUCAAAGUUUAAAAAAUUAAAUAUCCAAAUCGUUGGAAAAAAAAAAUCUGAAGAAGCAAGUGAUUGAAGUUGAAUCAAAUUAUUAAAAAAAUAAGGCGUUGUUAUAUCCCGCCUAAUUGAAAAGGCUUCGAAAUGAAUCAAGCCGAUCCAGUGAAGUUAUUGGUGUUUGAUCGCUGCUUCGAAUGUUAUUACAAGUUUACAACCGGAUGAGAAUGUUUCUCGCAACAUCAACCCCAACCUGGAAAAAAUCAGUGAUGAAAUGGCAAGGCUUUUAAAAUGCUAGUGAAUCAAAAGGUGAAUCUGAAGGUUGUUCAGCAGAAAAAAAUCAGUUCGUUCUCGGAACGAGAGUUUUAUUCAGUGCCGUGAAGUGGCUUAUUUUAAAUUGCUUAAGCCUGAAGUAUGAUCACACCCAGAGCUGUUGAAAGCUGUGUGAAGAUCGAAAAUGAAAUAAGUGAUGAUUAGAGCACGUAUAUCUAUUGAAAAAUGCCAUUGAGAGAAAAUGUGUCUGAAAAGUGAAUGAAAAAUCACCAACUAUCAAGAAGCACCAAUCAAAAAGAUAAAGUUUCAUGAAAUGAUACCAACCAGCGUUAUGUUCGUUUUGCAAAACGCGCGAGCUAUGAAAUUGAUGAUAAAUGCAAAGUUAUCUACAGGCUAUGAUUGAAAAUGCCGAAUGUAAGAAAGCAGUUUGUUCGAGAAAAAUGUUAAAAACCAGUCGUCGUUAUUUGAAAAAGGCUGUUUAAGCUUUCGUUUCCUUUCUAUGAAAGGGAACACUGCCCAUAAACAGACUUUUAAGGAAAUUGUUAGAUAGAAGUUGACGCACACAUCCGUACAAUCGAAGCUGAAUCAAUUAUUUCACCACCAACCACAAAAUCAACAAUCGAAUGAGAGGAGAUUUUUACCAAUGGAGAGCUCGAUAAGGUUUACGAAAUUGGAAGGUUCGUUCUUGGUCCUAGAGAGAAGUACUACUACGCACAGGAGAUUCGAAUUCGGUAAUUGUUCGAUCAUCGACAUCUUUCACUUGAUCCAAAACAAAAAUCACUUAAGCUGCUAGGCGAGGAUAACUGUGUCUCGAUGAGGAGAGCACUCCCAGGAGAGGUCCCAAAACCGACAGUUCCCAAAAUACCUAGCCGAAAAAUGAUCAAUUUCGCCCGGCUCGUUCCCUCGGGGACUAGCUGGGCCAUCGAGAGGCAAUUCCUUCCCGGGGCCACGCUUUGGCUGGUGUUUCACCUUGAAUCCGCACCUUCACAAAUACACCAUUCCUCGCAAUAUUGGGGCAAAUUUUAGGUUUAGGUGAGACUGCAGCCAUAUAUUUAUCGUUUACGAGCGAUUCAAGAGAACACGCUGAGCAUUGCAAUGCACAUCUCGAAUAGAAAAUCCUCUCCGUGACUAAAACUCAUUCCAGCAGAAUGCCGAACUACAGGAAUAUAUAUAUUAAAACGAAUACCAAAAAAAAACACAUCUUAAACUAAUAUUUCUUCCUAUCUCUCGAGCCGCUGUAACCAACUACUGUUCUUCCGACGAAGCCGUUUGUUUAUUUUUUGUUUCCAAAACUGGCCGAAUCCGGUGCACAAGACCACACUUCCAGUGCACUGGGGCAGGCCUUUCAUUGAGGCUGAUUUCGCCAGCGGCGAAGCGGCCAGGAAGAGUGCCCCGAGAAAUUGAUCGUUUUUCUUCCUUCAGUCCAGUCCAAUAUCAGAGUAUUUCACCACUUAUGAUGAGAGAAGAGGCAAGCAAUUCACACACACGCAAUCACGUGGACAGAGCGAGAAGUACUCUAGAGUCUAGCUAAAGGAGGCAGGGUAGGCACCACACUCAGUUGAAAGCUUACCGCUUCCCUGAGGGCGAGAGAGAUAGAUUGACCAUUUUCACUUGAGACAUGACCGAGAGAGAUGUUCAGAGGAGGAGGGUAGGCGGAUGGCCCAGGCAAGCGUGAAGAGGAAGCGGAAAGUCGCGAGAAGAUGGGUCCAACGCGUCGAGUUAGGGUUCCAGGGUUCCGGAGACGGCGGCGGCGGAGGCCUUUCUCAGCCAGUGAGAAGAGCCCACGGAUACGGACCGUGUCCGUUGGGUGACCAGCGAGAAGAGAGAAAGUGUCCUUGGAGGGUGGAUGGAUCGGCGGGAAGGCGUCGGCGGCGGCGAAGGCGGAUGGAUGUCCCGUGGUUAACAAGCGAGAAGAGCUCGUAACACGGACGGUGUUACAGAGUGGCCAGCGAGAAGAGACCAUGGCAACGCGGGGAUUAGGACUUCGUUUUUCUUCUUCACUCUUGAGUAGCGUGUAGGGCAAGGCUUAAAGUUUGAAACAUCGACGUUUCUCUUUCUAUGAAGCAACUUUUUCAAGGUUGAAUUUUUUUUCUUAACGUUAAAUUAUACGAUUAAAAUUGAAUUCUUACCUCAAAGCUAGAAUUAUAACUUAUCAGUAUACUUAUUGAUACUUUUACAAUAUGUCUAUUCAAGUUUACGCACCAAGCCUGUGUUCCUUACGGCGAUAACGAUAUUUUGUUAUUCGCAAAACAAAACAUUUCUGUCGAAUGAAAACAAAAGACUGAAAACAUAAAACAAAAAAAAUCAAAAUUAAAAAAAAAACAAAAAAGCAUUUGAAUCGGUAUUAAACAUUUUUUAAAAUUAAAAAUAUAAACAA
Long non-coding RNA from Uranotaenia lowii, 14923 nucleotides. RefSeq lists it as uncharacterized. The transcript has 8 exons. The record is from RefSeq and is a predicted model, not a curated record. Lineage: Eukaryota; Metazoa; Arthropoda; Insecta; Diptera; Culicidae.